Plutella xylostella (diamondback moth) is the source of this 348-nucleotide long non-coding RNA. RefSeq lists it as uncharacterized. The record is from RefSeq and is a predicted model, not a curated record. Lineage: Eukaryota; Metazoa; Arthropoda; Insecta; Lepidoptera; Plutellidae.
UUUAAAUUAGCAUAAGAAACAAACAAAAUAACAGUAUUUAAACUGCAGUCGGUGGUCUAAGAGUCACUCUCAUCCUCUCUCUACAUCUUGCAACAUGAAGUUCGCUACAGCAGUCGUGAUCGCUAUCUACGCCAUGGUGGCAUAUGCCUCGGCCGCCGUGCCCAGGGAGGGCGGCGGCGGCGGCGGCGGCGGCGGUGGCGGCAGCUCCGACAGCUAAGUGUCAAGCUGACAUUUCAAGUACUGAGACCUGAAGACUAUCGUGCUGCCAUCUGCCAUCUUCUCGUCAACAAAGUUAAAUAAAUUAUUAAUGAUGUACUAGUACACAAAUAAAUAAUUUUAUUAAUUUGA